Molecule: unclassified non-coding RNA, 345 nt
Filed under: soil metagenome
Description: partial contains 5.8S ribosomal RNA, internal transcribed spacer 2, and large subunit ribosomal RNA
Rfam family: 5.8S ribosomal RNA (bases 1-121)
Source: RNAcentral
GAUGAAGAACGUAGCGAAAUGCGAUAAGUAAUGCGAAUUGCAGAAUUUCCGUGAGUCAUCGAAUCUUUGAACGCACAUUGCGCCCACUGGUAUUCCGGUGGGCAUGCCUGUUCGAGCGUCAUUAUCCUCCCCCAAACCCCGGGUUUGGUGUUGGACCCAAGUUGUGUGAACAACUGGUCUCAAAGACAAUGACGGCGUCCGUGGGACCCUCGGUGCAACGAGCUUUUAGGAGCACGCAUCGAGUUGCAAGGACCUUCCGGGCCGGUCUCCUUUACCAUUUUACAAGGUUGACCUCGGAUCAGGUAGGAAUACCCGCUGAACUUAAGCAUAUCAAUAAGCGGAGGA